Molecule: ribosomal RNA, 210 nt
Filed under: uncultured bacterium
Lineage: Bacteria
Description: partial 16S ribosomal RNA
Rfam family: Bacterial small subunit ribosomal RNA
Source: RNAcentral
UUCGGAUUGUAGUCUGCAACUCGACUACAUGAAGCUGGAAUCGCUAGUAAUCGCGGAUCAGAAUGCCGCGGUGAAUACGUUCCCGGGUCUUGUACACACCGCCCGUCACACCAUGGGAGUCGAUAACGCCCGAAGUCAGUGACCCAACCUGUAAGGAGGGAGCUGCCGAAGGCGGGAUUGAUAACUGGGGUGAAGUCGUAACAAGGUACC